This is a long non-coding RNA of Anguilla rostrata (American eel), 1872 nucleotides long. RefSeq lists it as uncharacterized. The transcript has 2 exons. NCBI's taxonomy places the organism in Eukaryota, Metazoa, Chordata, Actinopteri, Anguilliformes, Anguillidae. The record is from RefSeq and is a predicted model, not a curated record.
UGACUUGCACCAUGGGUGAUGUCUGACAGCCUUAAUUCCAUUUCUUUGUCAGGUCAUGGAAAGUGCUGGAACUUAUCCCAGCAUGCACUGGGGGCAGGAAUACACACUGGUCACCAAUCCAUCUCACCCGAACCAGCAUGGCAUAGACUGUGGGAGGAAACCAGAGAAUCUAAAGGAGACACAACGCAGAUGCAGGGAGAACAUGCAAACUCCACACAAACAGGCUCUGACCGGGAUUCAAACCCAGGACCUACUUGCUGUCAGGCGACAGUGCUACCCACCGCACCACCUUCAUUAUUAUUAUGGAUAAAGGAAAUGUACAAGAGCAAGUGCAUAUGCAUAUACUGAAUGUGUGCAACACUUCAAUGUUGUGUGUCUCAAUAAGCCCAUAUAGCUGGAUAUCUGCAAAUUCACCAUGAAGGUCGGAUAGUCUUGUGCGUUCCUGGAAUUUAAUUGCCAUCUCUUCAUAAUCUGAUUACACGGUGUGUGCCGAUGCAACAGAGAUACGGCAGGGGUAAUUUAAUUAAAGCCAAUAUGCCACCUAUCCACUGAAAGAUCUGCACAGGUGAAUGAAGUAAUGUCACCCAUAUCCUCUGUAUAUAAUGUUUUUGCACCUCAGAAAUAUGUCAGUUCACUGAGGCAACCAUUUAUCAUAAAAUAUCUUGAUUUACAAUCUUUCAUCUGAAACCUUGCAAAAAAAAAAGGAGCCUCUUCUGAGUCCAUAGCUAGCUAUUAACUUAAGGGGAUGAGUUGGGGGGUGGAAGGUAGGUGGUGAAAAAUUGUGCCAUUUUGAGAUCAAGCAGUAACUAAAGAUCAAACAGAAACUUAAAUUGUGUUACUAAGGCAACAAUCCCUUAGUAAUGCAACACGGUUAUGUGGGGGACAAAAUGCAGUCCUACAUUCUUGUGGAUUUAUAAUUUUCUUUCUUGUAUUAUUUCAGAAGGAUCAACCUUGCUUUGAACACCAUUUUUCGUUUGACAGGGACAUGCUACAGUUCAAGGGCUAUACACAUAUUUCACAGUAUUAGCAUAGAAUCAGUAUAGAAAUAUGGAAAACCUAACCUCCGUAAUCAUAGUUAGAUUACUGUUAUUGUUUUAAUGUUUAAAUUUACAUUUUACAUACAUGCUUGUGAAUUAAAUUAAAAAAAAUUUUUUUUUUGAAAAAUGCUCAGCUGUGAGGAAUACAAUUGGAAUUAAGGGGGAUUGGGAUAAUAGUUUUUUUGUCUUAUGUGACAUAUUUCAUUGUAUUUGGAAUAACAGUUUCACUGGGGUUCUGAGAGAAUGAUGCUGAAAGCAGCAUUCGUUGCAUUAUAACACAGUACAGGGACAUUCUCUUUAUAAUACAAGGGCAGGUGGUAGUUAUCUGGGAAAAAAAAAAAAAAAGAGGGGAUUGUUGCUAGAUUUUCUUGCCCUGGGGAUUGCUGCAGUAACCCGUGGGAAUUAGAAUCACUGCUUUGAAAAAGUCUUUGUUCGCUAAAAAACUUUCCUGAUUCAGAGGACACAUGAUGACGUUUUCAUGAAGAAUCAGCCUGUGAACCUGUUGCCUUGGCUGCCAUGACAACAGCUCUUAUUUAAGUUUCAAUGAAUCAUCUGUAGCCGAUAUGCUUAAACCAAACAUUUUUAUGCCGUGUAAUAUACAUAGAGGGAGAAAUACAAAAAUGUUUCCAUUAAAUUUGCCUUAGUGAAGCCACCUUGAACUCUCAGGAACAUAAUAUUAUAUAAAUGAUCAAUGCUGUGCUAUUUGCCGGUUAGGAAGAAACAUGAUUGUGAUUGAAUAAAUGUAUAUCUUCAAAAAGCCACUGAAAUUGACAAUGAGGCAUAUGCUGUGAUAUCUACUAUUACCCAUGCCCUUGACUGAGGCCUAUGCUAAAAA